This 497-nucleotide ribosomal RNA is filed under the name uncultured bacterium. Its description in RNAcentral is "partial 16S ribosomal RNA". It matches the Rfam family "Bacterial small subunit ribosomal RNA", at positions 28 to 507 of the family's 1533-position model. The record is from RNAcentral.
GACGAACGCUGGCGGCGUGCCUAAUACAUGCAAGUUGAGCGCUGAAGGUUGGUACUUGUACCAACUGGAUGAGCAGCGAACGGGUGAGUAACGCGUGGGGAAUCUGCCUUUGAGCGGGGGACAACAUUUGGAAACGAAUGCUAAUACCGCAUAAAAACUUUAAACACAAGUUUUAAGUUUGAAAGAUGCAAUUGCAUCACUCAAAGAUGAUCCCGCGUUGUAUUAGCUAGUUGGUGAGGUAAAGGCUCACCAAGGCGAUGAUACAUAGCCGACCUGAGAGGGUGAUCGGCCACAUUGGGACUGUGACACGGCCCAAACUCCUACGGGAGGCAGCAGUAGGGAAUCUUCGGCAAUGGACGAAAGUCUGACCGAGCAACGCCGCGGGAGUGAAGAAGGUUUUCGGAUCGUAAAACUCUGUUGGUAGAGAAGAACGUUGGUGAGAGUGGAAAGCUCAUCAAGUGACGGUAACUACCCAGAAAGGGACGGCUAACUACGUG